Molecule: long non-coding RNA, 1185 nt
Organism: Lemur catta (Ring-tailed lemur)
Lineage: Eukaryota; Metazoa; Chordata; Mammalia; Primates; Lemuridae
Exons: 3
Source: RefSeq, a predicted model, not a curated record
ACCCAGCAGCCCUUCGCGUCCUGGGAAACCCAGGGCCUGGCACUGCGGAGGCGUCCCAGAAACACCCUCGGAAGAAAUUGUUAUGGAAUCCGUGACGAGCUCCCGUGUCUCUUGCGCUGGCUCUCCGGAUCUUUCCCGCUGUCCGUGAUGAUCUCGUCCUCUCUCCGGUUUCUGUCUCAGGCUCUCUGUUUUCCCCCUCUCCUGCCUCCCUGCUCUCCUCCCGACUUUUCCUCCCCUUCUUCCUUCCCUCUCCUUUUCCCCACCCUGUCUUGGAAAGGGGAAGCGCUGCCGAGUUGGGGACAAGGACCCGACCAGGCCACAUCACUAAGGGGGCGGGGGGUGCGAAGCUGGGCAGAGGCACCGAACGAGGAGAUUUUCGUUCCUUAUUGAAGGAAAUAACAGGGGAUUUUGUUGGAGAAAGUUCCCCGCAAGGACGCGGGUUCACUUGGAUAAACAUUGCCUGGGCCUGCGCUCUGCGGCGACAGAGCAAACGCUGGAGGCUACGAAGAAGAUGGGAACCAAGAGCAAAUUGAACUCAGUCCCAGGGCCUUGUACCCAUAGCCGGGAAAUGAAUCGCACCCGUCCAGCCGCAGACCUCCUCCUCCUACACCCACCGCGAAGCUGGGCAGUGAACGCGAACUGGUUCCGCUGGGCAGAUGAAGAAACAGACUACAGAGGAUCAAUAACUUGAGUUUGGUGACUGUCUGGGUUGCGCUGGGACAGCCCAGUAGUCCUGGCCUGGCCCUGGUUCCACUUUCAUCUCGCCUCCACCAGUGUAAAAAUGCAAGUUUUCAUCACAAUAGAACAUGGAGAAGAGUCAGCUCAUGCCCCAUGAGGUUUGAAAAAAAGGUUUGAAAAAACUCUCUCACAGGAGAAUUAGAAUUCUUGCCUCUCAGGGUGGGCUUCCCAUGCUGGGCCUUAUCUUGGAAGAAGAUUCCUCCUGCAGAGACACUGACUGCCAGGAAAGGAAACCCAGAUGCUUUGAACUUGGAGCCUGCCCCAUAAUGGGCUAAACUCUUGGGUGGGAAGGACUAUAAAUUGAAAGUUUCCAGUGUGACUCUGUAUUACAAUAUGUGUAAACUUGGAGCAAAUAUCUCUUUCUUCUGGGAAGACCACUUCAAUGGGUGUCUUAUAAAUGCAAAGAUAAACCACUUCAGUGGAUGCUUCAUUUUUUUGCAAAGAUAA